UACACUCCUGCGGGAGGCAGCAGUGGGGAAUUUUGGACAAUGGGCGAAAGCCUGAUCCAGCAAUGCCGCGUGUGUGAAGAAGGCCUUCGGGUUGUAAAGCACUUUUGUCCGGAAAGAAAUCCUUGGCUCUAAUACAGUCGGGGGAUGACGGUACCGGAAGAAUAAGCACCGGCUAACUACGUGCCAGCAGCCGCGGUAAUACGUAGGGUGCGAGCGUUAAUCGGAAUUACUGGGCGUAAAGCGUGCGCAGGCGGUUUGCUAAGACCGAUGUGAAAUCCCCGGGCUCAACCUGGGAACUGCAUUGGUGACUGGCAGGCUAGAGUAUGGCAGAGGGGGGUAGAAUUCCACGUGUAGCAGUGAAAUGCGUAGAGAUGUGGAGGAAUACCGAUGGCGAAGGCAGCCCCCUGGGCCAAUACUGACGCUCAUGCACGAAAGCGUGGGGAGCAAACAGGAUUAGAAACCCCUGUAGUCC
This 472-nucleotide ribosomal RNA is filed under the name uncultured organism. RNAcentral's name for it is "partial 16S ribosomal RNA". It matches the Rfam family "Bacterial small subunit ribosomal RNA", at positions 332 to 796 of the family's 1533-position model. The record is from RNAcentral.